Molecule: long non-coding RNA, 1091 nt
Filed under: Salmo salar (Atlantic salmon)
Lineage: Eukaryota; Metazoa; Chordata; Actinopteri; Salmoniformes; Salmonidae
Description: lncRNA (ENSSSAG00000120365.1)
Source: RNAcentral
CUUACAGGAAGUGGCCUGUCUGACCAUUUCUUGCCCUCCUUGAUCAUCUCUAACAAAUACAGGGGAUCUCUAGCAUGACGUGACACUUCCUACGGCUCCCAUGGGCUCUCAGAAGGCGGGAAAAAGCUGAACGAUGUAAUUCCAUCCCCAGGCUGAAACACAUUAGCGUGUUUGGCAAGUGCUCUAUCAGAGGGCCAUCAGACUGAGGCUCGUGCAUGAGGGGAUAGCAUGCUUUUACUUUCACUCUCUUUGUAAUAAAAAACGAUUUCCCGGUCGGAAUAUUAUCGCUUUUUUACAAGAAAAAUGGCAUAAAAAUUGAUUUUAAACAGCGGUUGACAUGCUUCGAAGUACGGUAAUGGAAUAUUUAGAAUUUUUUUGUCACGAAAUGCGCCGUGCUCGUAACCCUUCUUUACCCUUUCGGAUAGUGUCUUGAACGCACGAACAAAACGCCUCUAUUUGGAUAUAACAAUGGAUUAUUUGGGACCAAACCAACAUUUGUUAUUGAAGUAGAAGUCCUGGGAGUGCAUUCUGACGAAGAACAGCAAAGGAUGUUGGCGGGCGGAGCUGGGAGGGUCGUCAGCGACAUGGGACACACCUGGGCCCGGGUGUGUCCCGGGAUAAAUACACCUCGUCCCCAUUCAUUGAGGAGACUCUCUCCAUGCAGACAUACUUUUAGAUUUUGACCUCGAGCCAGUUCGUGACAAGGAGAUAACCAUUGAUAAGUACCAAUUGUUGUCAAUCUCAGGGCUCGUGCACGACAUUGGCUAUUUGCUUUUCAAAACGCCCCUAAUUAGCCAUACAUGGUCAAAAUCAUCCCUUUAAAGCCUGCAAGGAAUAUACAACGCCGAACCAUAAAAUACUAAGUCGCAGCCCAAAAAAAAGCUAUGAAAAAGGAAUGUGUAGUGUCAGAGGUUGAGUACAACCGUAAGGUUUGAUUUGGCUCACUCAGUUGUGGCUUGACCAGUAAAAAUAAAAAGAUGGUUACAAAGAGAGGACCGUUAGAUGCUUUAGCAAUGACAAAUCAUCUUCAAAUGAGUAGGCAGCACUCACCAAUAAGCUAUCCAUCCUCAACAGCUUCCUGCUGUAGGCCA